This 301-nucleotide ribosomal RNA is filed under the name Staphylococcus pseudintermedius. RNAcentral's name for it is "bacterial SSU rRNA". It matches the Rfam family "Bacterial small subunit ribosomal RNA", at positions 978 to 1278 of the family's 1533-position model. The record is from RNAcentral. Lineage: Bacteria; Bacillati; Bacillota; Bacilli; Caryophanales; Staphylococcaceae.
AUCUUGACAUCAUUUGACCGCUUUAGAGAUAGAGUUUUUCUCUUCGGAGGACAAAGUGACUGGUGGUGCAUGGUUGUCGUCAGCUCGUGUCGUGUGAUGUUGGGUUAAGUCCCGCAUCGAGUGCAACCUUUACACUUAGAUGCUAUCCUUCAGUUGUGCACUCUAAGUUGACUGCCGGUAACACACCGGAGGACGGUGGCGAUGACGUCAACUCAUCAUGCCCCUUAUGCUUUGGGCUACACGAGUGCUACAAUGGACCAUACAAAGGGCAGCGAAACCGAGAGGUCAAGCAAAUCCCAUA